This 446-nucleotide ribosomal RNA is filed under the name uncultured bacterium. Its description in RNAcentral is "bacterial SSU rRNA". It matches the Rfam family "Bacterial small subunit ribosomal RNA", at positions 330 to 792 of the family's 1533-position model. The record is from RNAcentral.
GCCAGACUCCUACGGGAGGCAGCAGUGGGGAAUAUUGCGCAAUGGGGGAAACCCUGACGCAGCAACGCCGCGUGAGUGAAGAAGUAUCUCGGUAUGUAAAGCUCUAUCAGCGGGGAAGAAAGAGGACGGUACCCGACUAAGAAGCCCCGGCUAACUACGUGCCAGCAGCCGCGGUAAUACGUAGGGGGCGAGCGUUAUCCGGAUUUACUGGGUGUAAAGGGAGCGUAGACGGCGUCGCAAGUCUGAAGUGAAAGCUCGUGGCUCAACCGCGGAACGGCUUUGGAAACUGUGGAACUGGAGUGCUGGAGAGGCAAGCGGAAUUCCUAGUGUAGCGGUGAAAUGCGUAGAUAUUAGGAGGAACACCAGUGGCGAAGGCGGCUUGCUGGACAGUAACUGACGUUGAGGCUCGAAAGCGUGGGGAGCAAACAGGAUUAGAUACCCCGGUA